AAGUUUCGUACCACGUAAAUAACGUGGCACUCUUCAGAUAAAAUAGCCUAUGUUUGUUUAUCUGAAGAGUGCCACGUUAUUUACGUGGUACGAAACUG
Non-coding RNA from Paramuricea clavata, 98 nucleotides. NCBI's taxonomy places the organism in Eukaryota, Metazoa, Cnidaria, Anthozoa, Malacalcyonacea, Plexauridae. The record is from the annotation of a GenBank genome assembly.